AAAUCCGUCGACUUUAUGAAAUAGAGAGGGUUCAAGUCCCUCUAUCCCCAA
RNAcentral lists this transfer RNA (51 nucleotides) under Gymnospermium odessanum. RNAcentral describes it as "partial tRNA-Leu". The record is from RNAcentral. Lineage: Eukaryota; Viridiplantae; Streptophyta; Magnoliopsida; Ranunculales; Berberidaceae.